This 1791-nucleotide ribosomal RNA is filed under the name Brevibacillus thermoruber PM1. RNAcentral describes it as "bacterial LSU rRNA". It matches the Rfam family "Bacterial large subunit ribosomal RNA", at positions 1130 to 2925 of the family's 2925-position model. The record is from RNAcentral. Lineage: Bacteria; Bacillati; Bacillota; Bacilli; Caryophanales; Paenibacillaceae.
GUGCGUAAUAGCUCACUGGUCGAGUGACUCUGCGCGGAAAAUGUAACGGGGCUAAACGUACCACCGAAGCUAUGGCAGUCCUACGGACUGGGUAGGGGAGCGUUCCAAGCAGCGGCGAAGCCGUACCGGAAGGAGCGGUGGAGCGCUUGGAAGUGAGAAUGCCGGUGUAAGUAGCGAAAAGACAAGUGAGAAUCUUGUCCACCGAAAGCCUAAGGGUUCCUGGGGAAGGCUCGUCCUCCCAGGGUUAGUCGGGACCUAAGCUGAGGCCGAAAGGCGUAGGCGAUGGACAACAGGUUGAUAUUCCUGUACCACCUCCAUUCCGCUUGAGCAAUGGCGUGACGCAGGAGGAUAGGGCGAGCGGCCUGCUGGAUGGCCGUCCAAGCAGCAAGCCUGGUGUGUAGGCAAAUCCGCACACCGUCAAGGGCAAGCUGUGAUGGCGAGGGAAAUGCAAGUACCGAAGUCCCUGAUUUCACACUGCCAAGAAAAGCGUCUAGCGAGGAAUGAGGUGCCCGUACCGCAAACCGACACAGGUAGGCGAGGAGAGAAUCCUAAGGUGCGCGGGAGAACUCUUGCUAAGGAACUCGGCAAAAUGGCCCGUAACUUCGGGAGAAGGGGCGCCCCGGUAGGGUUAACAGCCCGAGGGGGCCGCAGUGAAAAGGCCCAAGCGACUGUUUUAGCAAAAACACAGGUCUCUGCGAAGCCGCAAGGCGAAGUAUAGGGGCUGACGCCUGCCCGGUGCUGGAAGGUUAAGGGGAUGAGUUAGCGCAAGCGAAGCUUUGAACCGAAGCCCCAGUAAACGGCGGCCGUAACUAUAACGGUCCUAAGGUAGCGAAAUUCCUUGUCGGGUAAGUUCCGACCCGCACGAAAGGCGUAACGACUUGGGCGCUGUCUCGGCAAGAGACCGGUGAAAUCAUAAUACCUGUGAAGAUGCAGGUUACCCGCGACAAGACGGAAAGACCCAUGGAGCUUUACUGUAGCCUGAUAUUGGACUUUGGUACGAUCUGUACAGAAUAGGUGGGAGCCUGGGAAGCGGUGCGCCAGCAUCGGUGGAGCGCCGUUGGGAUACCACCCUGAUCGUAUCGGAGUUCUAACCCGCGGCCCUGAUCGGUCGGGGAACAGUGUCAGGUGGGCAGUUUGACUGGGGCGGUCGCCUCCUAAAAGGUAACGGAGGCGCCCAAAGGUUCCCUCAGAAUGGUCGGAAAUCAUUCGUAGAGUGUAAAGGCAGAAGGGAGCUUGACUGCGAGACCUACAAGUCGAGCAGGGACGAAAGUCGGGCUUAGUGAUCCGGUGGUUCCGCAUGGAAGGGCCAUCGCUCAACGGAUAAAAGCUACCCUGGGGAUAACAGGCUUAUCUCCCCCAAGAGUCCACAUCGACGGGGAGGUUUGGCACCUCGAUGUCGGCUCAUCGCAUCCUGGGGCUGAAGUAGGUCCCAAGGGUUGGGCUGUUCGCCCAUUAAAGCGGUACGCGAGCUGGGUUCAGAACGUCGUGAGACAGUUCGGUCCCUAUCUGUCGCGGGCGCAGGAAGUUUGAGGAGAGCUGUCCUUAGUACGAGAGGACCGGGAUGGACGCACCGCUGGUGCACCAGUUGUUCCGCCAGGAGCACAGCUGGGUAGCUAUGUGCGGACGGGAUAAGCGCUGAAAGCAUCUAAGCGUGAAGCCCCCUCCAAGAUGAGACUUCCCACAGCGUCAAGCUGGUAAGACCCCUCAAAGACGAUGAGGUUGAUAGGUUCGGUGUGGAAGCGCGGCAACGCGUGGAGCUGACGAAUACUAAUCGGUCGAGGACUUAUCCAC